RNAcentral lists this ribosomal RNA (206 nucleotides) under uncultured bacterium. Its description in RNAcentral is "partial 16S ribosomal RNA". It matches the Rfam family "Bacterial small subunit ribosomal RNA", at positions 568 to 774 of the family's 1533-position model. The record is from RNAcentral.
UCCGCAGGCGGACUUUUAAGUCGGUGGUGAAUCCUGCAGCUUAACUGUAGAACUGCCUUCGAUACUGAAAGUCUUGAAUACGGGAGAGGGUAACGGAAUUCCAGGUGUAGCGGUGAAAUGCUUAGAUAUCCGGAGGAACACCGGUUGCGAAGGCUGUUGCCUGGCCCGUUAUUGACGCUCAUGGACGAAAGCGUGGGGAUCAAACA